GGAUAUGUGUUACUGUUCAUCGGAAAAAAAAAAUCAAAAUCAAAGUCAUUUCCGAUUAACUCUUUUCCAGUUUCCGGCGAAAUUUUCCAGAUGAUUCUGCGUCUGGCCAGUUGAUUAUUUAUCUUUUGGCCCUAAAAAUUGGAUUUGAUCAACCUUUCUCUGGGUUUUGGGAGGAGAUUAGUUUGUUUAUCAUUUUUCAGGAAAUUAUCUCUGUUCUUCCUAUCGCUAAAUGAGGACAACUCAUUUGCCAUACCAGCUGGGCCACUACCGCUCCGCCUCCGGCGAGGGUCUCCAUUUCUCAGGUAGCAUGUUGCACCCGGCCGCCGCCGUCGAUGCACGCAUCUCUAGCUUUCGGCCUUCAAGAGGGUCCGAUCGAAAAUCCGGUCGCAGCCCAACAAUCGCUGCCCCAACAACAAUCGAAGCUCGCCGUUUUCCAUCACCAUCUCCGGUGAGAAAUCGAAAUCCCAACUUAAAUUGGGUAUACCAAGAUCCCAAUCGAAAGUAUUUCUCUUAAAUCGGCUCCAGCGCAACACUCAAAUAUCGAUCUGUCAUCCUCCUGAAUCUGGACAACCCCGUUCACUCCUCCGGGAAAGCACAGAACCGGGCAUCGCCGUUGCACAGGAGCCACGCACUGUCGUCGGUCCCUGCUUCAUCUCGUACGAGCCGCGACCAAAGCCACGGACAACUCGUCUCCUCCAGGCCAAUUUAUUCAAUCUAGGGCAGAGCUUGAUCCUAAAUUGCAAUUCCAGCGAACCCCAGCUUUCUCUCAGCUGCAGAGCAGCGCCUUGGCGGCGUAGAAGGUCACCGACACGGCCGUCGCCGACCAAGGCGAAGUUAGUGGCAGACUUUGCUGGUCACCUCCAAGAGCUGCUGAUAUGUCAGCCAAGGCUGCUAGUUGACACCAAGAGGAAGCUCAGGCAACCAUAGAAUGAAGAUAAGUCCUUUAUCUCUCUUUAUUGCGCUGAAAUUGGGGUGAAUCGAUUACAUUCCGCUGUUUUUCUAGUCGAUUGUUGGUUUAAUUGACUGAGAUAGGGCAUAACAUAGUGCAAAGUGCAUUUGUGAAGGAAAAAAUCUUUGCUAUACUUCUUGAUAUUAAUGGUAUAGGCUGUUGCUAUACUUCACCGAUGAUACUUCUUGAUCCCUGUUUUGCUUGGUAUAGGCUGUUGCUAUGUUUUGN
This 1177-nucleotide long non-coding RNA is filed under the name Salvia miltiorrhiza (redroot sage). RNAcentral's name for it is "long non-coding RNA (SMIL_LNC013872)". The record is from RNAcentral. Lineage: Eukaryota; Viridiplantae; Streptophyta; Magnoliopsida; Lamiales; Lamiaceae.